Herpailurus yagouaroundi (jaguarundi) is the source of this 1123-nucleotide RNA transcript. It is a transcript of the gene named complement component 4 binding protein beta, with no coding region annotated. The transcript is spliced from 7 exons. The record is from RefSeq and is a predicted model, not a curated record. Lineage: Eukaryota; Metazoa; Chordata; Mammalia; Carnivora; Felidae.
GACACAACCAGGCAGUUUCUAAAACUGAAUUGUAAAACGGGCGGCUCAUCAGCCGCCCCUUUGUGUUUUUGCAAAAUCGCUCCCUGUACUAACUUCCUCACAGCUGUUCUUAUUUCCUUUGGUAGAAUUUUUUUUUUUUCAUUCUUCCUAGGGAAGAGAAAUCAAUACAACAUCUCCAGGAGGGAGGUGGUUGGUAUCUCCUACUUUGAUCCAAACCACGUGUUGUCUGUGUUGGGUUAAUUCCAGCCUGGGUCAAGCAACUGAUCGCAAGAUGUUUUUGCGGGUUGUGUGCUAUCUUGUGGUUGUGUGGCCGAUUUCUGCCUCAUACGAGAACUGUCCAGAACUCCCCCCAGUGGGAUAUAGCAUAUUUGUUGCAACGAAGGUCGAGGGACAAAUUCUGGGGACUUACUUUUGUAUCAAGGGCUACCACCUGGUAGGAGAGAAAACCUUUAUUUGCAAUGCCUCUGGGGAGUGGAAUAAUCCCACUCCCACAUGCCAAUUGGGCCACUGUCCUGACCCUGUGCUGGUGAAUGGUGAACCCAGUUUCUCAGGUCCUGUGAAUGUGAGUGACAAAGUCACUUUUAAGUGCAAUGAGAACUAUAUCCUCCAGGGCAGCAACUGGAGUCAGUGCAUGAACGACCACACCUGGAUGCCUCCCUUACCCAUCUGCAAAAGCAGAGACUGUGGCCCUCCUGGGAAUCCGGCUCAUGGCUAUUUUGAGGGAAGAGAUUUCAACUUAGGUUCGACCAUUACUUAUUACUGUGAAGACAGGUACCACUUGGUGGGCACGCGGGACCAACGGUGCGUUGAUGGGGAGUGGAGCAGUGCACUUCCAGUCUUUGUAUCUCCUGGCACAUGCUCAGUAAAUAUCUGUUCACUGUGGGAUGUUUUUGAAGAGUUGGCCUUGGCCCGAUUGUAGAAGAGGGAUCAUAAGGUAUUAAUUCGUAGUUUUACGUGAGAAGUUCUCAUUCACCACCAUCAUCACAAACACCUCAUGAGGACGUGUUGCUUGCCUUUCAGGAGACGAAAGACCUUUGCAAAGCCAUGCGGAACUUUAUGAAAAGACUCACGGAAAAUUCCUUAACGAUGGAGGAACUAAAAUAUUUUCUGGAAAUUCAGAAAG